GCCUAAUCAUGCAAGUCGAGCGAACAGAUAAGGAGCUUGCUCCUUUGACGUUAGCGGCGGACGGGUGAGUAACACGUGGGUAACCUACCUAUAAGACUGGGAUAACUUCGGGAAACCGGAGCUAAUACCGGAUAACAUUUGGAACCGCAUGGUUCUAAAGUGAAAGAUGGUUUUGCUAUCACUUAUAGAUGGACCCGCGCCGUAUUAGCUAGUUGGUAAGGUAACGGCUUACCAAGGCGACGAUACGUAGCCGACCUGAGAGGGUGAUCGGCCACACUGGAACUGAGACACGGUCCAGACUCCUACGGGAGGCAGCAGUAGGGAAUCUUCCGCAAUGGGCGAAAGCCUGACGGAGCAACGCCGCGUGAGUGAUGAAGGGUUUCGGCUCGUAAAACUCUGUUAUUAGGGAAGAACAAACGUGUAAGUAACUGUGCACGUCUUGACGGUACCUAAUCAGAAAGCCACGGCUAACUACGUGCCAGCAGCCGCGGUAAUACGUAGGUGGCAAGCGUUAUCCGGAAUUAUUGGGCGUAAAGCGCGCGUAGGCGGUUUCUUAAGUCUGAUGUGAAAGCCCACGGCUCAACCGUGGAGGGUCAUUGGAAACUGGGAAACUUGAGUGCAGAAGAGGAAAGUGGAAUUCCAUGUGUAGCGGUGAAAUGCGCAGAGAUAUGGAGGAACACCAGUGGCGAAGGCGACUUUCUGGUCUGUAACUGACGCUGAUGUGCGAAAGCGUGGGGAUCAAACAGGAUUAGAUACCCUGGUAGUCCACGCCGUAAACGAUGAGUGCUAAGUGUUAGGGGGUUUCCGCCCCUUAGUGCUGCAGCUAACGCAUUAAGCACUCCGCCUGGGGAGUACGACCGCAAGGUUGAAACUCAAAGGAAUUGACGGGGACCCGCACAAGCGGUGGAGCAUGUGGUUUAAUUCGAAGCAACGCGAAGAACCUUACCAAAUCUUGACAUCCUUUGAAAACUCUAGAGAUAGAGCCUUCCCCUUCGGGGGACAAAGUGACAGGUGGUGCAUGGUUGUCGUCAGCUCGUGUCGUGAGAUGUUGGGUUAAGUCCCGCAACGAGCGCAACCCUUAAGCUUAGUUGCCAUCAUUAAGUUGGGCACUCUAGGUUGACUGCCGGUGACAAACCGGAGGAAGGUGGGGAUGACGUCAAAUCAUCAUGCCCCUUAUGAUUUGGGCUACACACGUGCUACAAUGGACAAUACAAAGGGCAGCUAAACCGCGAGGUCAUGCAAAUCCCAUAAAGUUGUUCUCAGUUCGGAUUGUAGUCUGCAACUCGACUACAUGAAGCUGGAAUCGCUAGUAAUCGUAGAUCAGCAUGCUACGGUGAAUACGUUCCCGGGUCUUGUACACACCGCCCGUCACACCACGAGAGUUUGUAACACCCGAAGCCGGUGGAGUAACCAUUUAUGGAGCUAGCCGUCGAAAGGGUGGGAC
Molecule: ribosomal RNA, 1444 nt
Filed under: Staphylococcus saprophyticus
Lineage: Bacteria; Bacillati; Bacillota; Bacilli; Caryophanales; Staphylococcaceae
Description: bacterial SSU rRNA
Rfam family: Bacterial small subunit ribosomal RNA
Source: RNAcentral